GCCUGUUUAACAAAAACAUCGCCUCCUGCAACAUAACCAAGUAUAGGAGGUCCAGCCUGCCCAGUGACCACAAGUUCAACGGCCGCGGUAUUUUGACCGUGCAAAGGUAGCGCAAUCACUUGUCUUUUAAAUAGAGACCUGUAUGAAUGGCUAAACGAGGGCUUAACUGUCUCCCCUUUCAAGUCAGUGAAAUUGAUCUACCCGUGCAGAAGCGGGUAUAAUAAUACAAGACGAGAAGACCCUUUGGAGCUUAAGGUACAAAACUCAACCACGUCAAGCAACUUAAUAAAAAGAAAAAACCUUGUGGAACAUGAUAUUUUACCUUCGGUUGGGGCGACCACGGAGGAAAGAAAAGCCUCCAAGUGGAUCUGGGAAAAUUUCCUAAAGCCAAGAGAGACAUCUCUAAGCCACAGAACAUCUGACCAAACAUGAUCCGGCAACAAAGCCGAUCAACGAACCAAGUUACCCCAGGGAUAACAGCGCAAUCCUCUCCCAGAGUCCAUAUCGACGAGGGGGUUUACGACCUCGAUGUUGGAUCAGGACAUCCUAAUGGUGCAGCCGCUAUUAAGGGUUCGUUUGUUCAACGAUUAAAGUCCUACAUGAUCUGAGUUCAGACCGGAG
RNAcentral lists this ribosomal RNA (621 nucleotides) under Schizothorax labiatus (Kunar snowtrout). RNAcentral describes it as "partial 16S ribosomal RNA". It matches the Rfam family "Bacterial large subunit ribosomal RNA", at positions 1798 to 2621 of the family's 2925-position model. Lineage: Eukaryota; Metazoa; Chordata; Actinopteri; Cypriniformes; Cyprinidae. The record is from RNAcentral.